Molecule: ribosomal RNA, 490 nt
Filed under: uncultured bacterium
Lineage: Bacteria
Description: partial 16S ribosomal RNA
Rfam family: Bacterial small subunit ribosomal RNA
Source: RNAcentral
AUUGAACGCUGGCGGCAGGCCUAACACAUGCAAGUCGAACGGUAACAGGAAACAGCUUGCUGUUUCGCUGACGAGUGGCGGACGGGCGAGUAAUGUCUGGGAAACUGCCUGAUGGAGGGGGAUAACUACUGGAAACGGUAGCUAAUACCGCAUAACGUCGCAAGACCAAAGAGGGGGACCUUCGGGCCUCUUGCCAUCGGAUGUGCCCAGAUGGGAUUAGCUAGUAGGUGGGGUAACGGCUCACCUAGGCGACGAUCCCUAGCUGGUCUGAGAGGAUGACCAGCCACACUGGAACUGAGACACGGUCCAGACUCCUACGGGAGGCAGCAGUGGGGAAUAUUGCACAAUGGGCGCAAGCCUGAUGCAGCCAUGCCGCGUGUAUGAAGAAGGCCUUCGGGUUGUAAAGUACUUUCAGCGGGGAGGAAGGGAGUAAAGUUAAUACCUUUACUCAUUGACGUUACCCGCAGAAGAAGCACCGGCUAACUCCGUG